UACGGGGGGGGCAAGCGUUGUUCGGAAUUACUGGGCGUAAAGGGCUCGUAGGCGGCCAACUAAGUCGGAUGUGAAAUCCCCAGGCUUAACCUGGGAACUGCAUCCGAUACUGGAUGGCUUGAAUCCGGGAGAGGGAUGCAGAAUUCCAGGUGUAGCGGUGAAAUGCGUAGAUAUCUGGAGGAAUACCGGUGGCGAAGGCGGCGCCCUGGCUCGCAACUGACGCUCAGACACGACAGCAUGGGGAGCGAACGGG
This 253-nucleotide ribosomal RNA is filed under the name uncultured bacterium. Its description in RNAcentral is "partial 16S ribosomal RNA". It matches the Rfam family "Bacterial small subunit ribosomal RNA", at positions 524 to 776 of the family's 1533-position model. The record is from RNAcentral.